Molecule: transfer RNA, 88 nt
Filed under: Gammaproteobacteria bacterium
Lineage: Bacteria; Pseudomonadati; Pseudomonadota; Gammaproteobacteria
Also listed under: 1 other name
Description: tRNA-Ser
Rfam family: tRNA
About the family: Transfer RNA (tRNA) molecules are approximately 80 nucleotides in length.
Source: RNAcentral
GGAGAGGUGGCCGAGUGGCUGAAGGCGCACGCUUGGAAAGCGUGUGUACGUUAAUAGCGUACCGUGGGUUCGAAUCCCACUCUCUCCG